Molecule: ribosomal RNA, 393 nt
Filed under: bacterium enrichment culture
Lineage: Bacteria
Description: bacterial SSU rRNA
Rfam family: Bacterial small subunit ribosomal RNA
Source: RNAcentral
UAAUACGGAGGAUGCAAGCGUUAUCCGGAUUCAUUGGGUUUAAAGGGUGCGUAGGCGGCUUUUUAAGUCAGUGGUGAAAUCCUGCCGCUUAACGGUAGAAUUGCCAUUGAUACUGAAAAGCUUGAGUACAAUUGAGGUAAGCGGAAUGUGUAGUGUAGCGGUGAAAUGCUUAGAUAUAACACAGAACACCAAUUGCGAAGGCAGCUUACUGGGAUACAACUGACGCUGAGGCACGAAAGCGUGGGGAUCAAACAGGAUUAGAUACCCUGGUAGUCCACGCAGUAAACGAUGAAUACUAGCUGUAUGCGAUAUACUGUAUGUGGCACAGCGAAAGCGUUAAGUAUUCCACCUGGGGAGUACGUUCGCAAGAAUGAAACUCAAAGGAAUUGACGG